AGGACGAACGCUGGCGGCGUGCUUAACACAUGCAAGUGGUGCGACGAACCAGGGCUUGCCCUGGGGCAAAGCCGCGAACGGGUGAGUAACACGUGAGUAACCUGCCCCGAUGACCGGGACAACCCGAGGAAACUCGGGCUAAUACCGGAUGUGGCGCACAGGUCUAAGCCUGUUCGCUAAAGGAAGCUUCGGCCUCCGCAUUGGGAGGGGCUCGCGGCCCAUUAGCUUGUUGGUGGGGUAACGGCCUACCAAGGCUGCGAUGGGUAGCUGGUCUGAGAGGACGAUCAGCCACACUGGGACUGAGACACGGCCCAGACUCCUACGGGAGGCAGCAGUGGGGAAUAUUGGACAAUGGGGGCAACCCUGAUCCAGCAAUGCCGCGUGAGUGAAGAAGGCCUUCGGGUUGUAAAGCUCGUUUUGGUAGGGUACGAUAAGUGACGGUACCUAUCGAAUAAGCACCGGCUAACUCUGCGCCAGCAGCCGC
Molecule: ribosomal RNA, 484 nt
Filed under: uncultured bacterium
Lineage: Bacteria
Description: partial small subunit ribosomal RNA
Rfam family: Bacterial small subunit ribosomal RNA
Source: RNAcentral